RNAcentral lists this ribosomal RNA (499 nucleotides) under uncultured bacterium. RNAcentral describes it as "bacterial SSU rRNA". It matches the Rfam family "Bacterial small subunit ribosomal RNA", at positions 899 to 1397 of the family's 1533-position model. The record is from RNAcentral.
ACUCAAAGGAAUAGACGGGGGCCCGCACAAGCGGUGGAGUAUGUGGUUUAAUUCGAAGCAACGCGAAGAACCUUACCAGGUCUUGACAUUGAUGGACAGAAUUAGAGAUAAUUCCUUUCCUUCGGGAACCAGAAAACAGGUGGUGCACGGUUGUCGUCAGCUCGUGUCGUGAGAUGUUGGGUUAAGUCCCGCAACGAGCGCAACCCUUGUCUUAUGUUGCCAGCACGUAAAGGUGGGAACUCAUAAGAGACUGCCGCCGAUAAGGCGGAGGAAGGCGGGGAUGACGUCAAAUCAUCAUGCCCCUUAUGACCUGGGCUACACACGUACUACAAUGGGCUAAGCAGAGGGAAGCGAGCUAGUAAUAGUGAGCGAAUCCCAUAAACUAGCUCUCAGUUCGGAUUGUAGGCUGCAACUCGCCUACAUGAAGUCGGAAUCGCUAGUAAUCGCGGGUCAGCAUACCGCGGUGAAUACGUUCCCGGGCCUUGUACACACCGCCCGU